This 418-nucleotide ribosomal RNA is filed under the name uncultured cyanobacterium. RNAcentral describes it as "bacterial SSU rRNA". It matches the Rfam family "Bacterial small subunit ribosomal RNA", at positions 28 to 488 of the family's 1533-position model. The record is from RNAcentral. Lineage: Bacteria; Bacillati; Cyanobacteriota.
GAUGAACGCUGGCGGUCUGCUUAACACAUGCAAGUCGAACGGGCUCUUCGGAGCUAGUGGCGGACGGGUGAGUAACGCGUGAGAAUCUGCCUUCAGGAGGGGGAUAACGACUGGAAACGGUCGCUAAUACCCCAUAUGCCUCCGGGUGAAAAGUAAUUCGCCUGAAGAUGAGCUCGCGUCAGAUUAGCUAGUUGGUGGGGUAAGAGCCUACCAAGGCGACGAUCUGUAGCUGGUCUGAGAGGAUGAUCAGCCACACUGGGACUGAGACACGGCCCAGACUCCUACGGGAGGGCAGCAAGUGGGGAAUUUUCCGCAAUGGGCGCAAGCUUGACGGAGCAAGACCGCGUGGGGGAUGACCGGACUAAUGGUUGUAAACCCCUUUACUCUGGGAAGAAAGACUGACGGUACCAGAGGAAUC